RNAcentral lists this ribosomal RNA (468 nucleotides) under uncultured bacterium. Its description in RNAcentral is "partial 16S ribosomal RNA". It matches the Rfam family "Bacterial small subunit ribosomal RNA", at positions 28 to 507 of the family's 1533-position model. The record is from RNAcentral.
GACGAACGCUGGCGGCGUGCUUAACACAUGCAAGUCGAACGGAAAGGCCCUGCUUUUGUGGGGUGCUCGAGUGGCGAACGGGUGAGUAACACGUGAGUAACCUGCCCUUGACUUUGGGAUAACUUCAGGAAACUGGGGCUAAUACCGGAUAGGAGCCUCUGCUGCAUGGUGGGGGUUGGAAAGUUUCGGCGGUUGGGGAUGGACUCGCGGCUUAUCAGCUUGUUGGUGGGGUAGUGGCUUACCAAGGCUUUGACGGGUAGCCGGCCUGAGAGGGUGACCGGCCACAUUGGGACUGAGAUACGGCCCAGACUCCUACGGGAGGCAGCAGUGGGGAAUAUUGCACAAUGGGCGGAAGCCUGAUGCAGCAACGCCGCGUGCGGGAUGACGGCCUUCGGGUUGUAAACCGCUUUCGCCUGUGACGAAGCGUGAGUGACGGUAAUGGGAAAAGAAGCACCGGCUAACUACGUG